Molecule: ribosomal RNA, 301 nt
Filed under: uncultured bacterium
Lineage: Bacteria
Description: partial 16S ribosomal RNA
Rfam family: Bacterial small subunit ribosomal RNA
Source: RNAcentral
CAGUCGCCACGGUAAAACGUAGGUGGCAAGCGUUGUCCGGAAUUAUUGGGCGUAAAGGGCUCGCAGGCGGUUUCUUAAGUCUGAUGUGAAAGCCCCCGGCUCAACCGGGGAGGGACAUUGGAAACUGGGAGACUUGAGUGCAGAAGAGGAGAGUGGAAUUCCACGUGUAGCGGUGAAAUGCGUAGAGAUGUGGAGGAACACCAGUGGCGAAGGCGACUCUCUGGUCUGUAACUGACGCUGAGGAGCGAAAGCGUGGGGAGCGAACAGGAUUAGAUACCCCAGUAGUCCCUGUCUCUUAUAC